AUGCUCAGUAUAUCGCAGAGCCCGAUAUAAUGAAGGUUGAACUCGCUGCCAGAGCGUUAAGGGCAGCAGACAGUGGGGAGUUUGCUCAAAUACUCGCUUCCCCUGCGCUUUCUUUUUGACACGUCUAAAGGGUCCUUUCUGUCCCGAUGCCACUCUUCCCUGUAGUUUCCAUGUGGGGGGAAAGAGCCCGUGACCUCGGCACCAAUGUCUUGGCAGAGGCGUUUUGCGAGAGCAGAAGGUCCGAGUGCUGCCAGAUACACAGCAAUAUGAUGCUUAAAAUGCAACUCAGUUUGUUUUUCAAGCCUCUACCUUCUCUUUAGCAGUUUGCUUGCAUCAUUUUCCCACCAACUAACAGCAACCGAAAACACGGCCGAUACAGGGAUGAACGCUUCCAGACUGCGAUGAGAAAUCGACAGACUGACGGAUAUAAAAUUGGAUGUGUGUAAGGUCAUGGUCGCCGUCCUCGAGGCAGAUUCGACCUUCCGCUUCUGUUUCUGUGUGUGUUCAGGAUCACGACGGCCUGCUGCUGCCGGGGAAUAUUGGAGCGGUGGGUCGCAUCCCGGCCUUGGCAAACCUCUGACGGGAUGAUAUUAAACUCUCCAUCGGUGUCAGAUGGAGUAAAUAAACACAAAGGUGCACAUCCUCUGGCAGGGGUCGCGGAUCCGUCCAAACGAGAGUCCAGGUGAGCCUGUGCUAAUUAGGCUUCACACACGGUCAAAAACACACACGGUGAAAACACACACGGUGAGGAUGUUCAAUCAGUCGUGUAACAUGUUAGAAGACAUGCUAUUCUACACUC
Rhinichthys klamathensis goyatoka is the source of this 799-nucleotide long non-coding RNA. RefSeq lists it as uncharacterized. The transcript has 3 exons. The record is from RefSeq and is a predicted model, not a curated record. Lineage: Eukaryota; Metazoa; Chordata; Actinopteri; Cypriniformes; Leuciscidae.